GACGAACGCUGGCGGCGUGCUUAACACAUGCAAGUCGAGCGGUAAGGCCCUUUCGGGGGCACACGAGCGGCGAACGGGUGAGUAACACGUGGGUGACCUGCCCUCAGCUCUGGGAUAAGCCUGGGAAACCGGGUCUAAUACUGGAUAUGACUCCAUGACGCAUGUUGUGGGGUGGAAAGCCUUGUGCGGCUGAGGAUGGGCCCGCGGCCUAUCAGCUUGUUGGUGGGGUGAUGGCCUACCAAGGCGACGACGGGUAGCCGGCCUGAGAGGGCGACCGGCCACACUGGGACUGAGACACGGCCCAGACUCCUACGGGAGGCAGCAGUGGGGAAUCUUGCGCAAUGGGCGAAAGCCUGACGCAGCGACGCCGCGUGAGGGAUGACGGCCUCGGUGUAAC
RNAcentral lists this ribosomal RNA (397 nucleotides) under uncultured bacterium. RNAcentral's name for it is "bacterial SSU rRNA". It matches the Rfam family "Bacterial small subunit ribosomal RNA", at positions 28 to 429 of the family's 1533-position model. The record is from RNAcentral.